RNAcentral lists this ribosomal RNA (497 nucleotides) under uncultured bacterium. RNAcentral describes it as "partial 16S ribosomal RNA". It matches the Rfam family "Bacterial small subunit ribosomal RNA", at positions 28 to 507 of the family's 1533-position model. The record is from RNAcentral.
GAUGAACGCUGGCGGCGUGCCUAAUACAUGCAAGUCGAGCGAACGGACGAGAAGCUUGCUUCUCUGAUGUUAGCGGCGGACGGGUGAGUAACACGUGGAUAACCUACCUAUAAGACUGGGAUAACUUCGGGAAACCGGAGCUAAUACCGGAUAAUAUUUUGAACCGCAUGGUUCAAAAGUGAAAGACGGUCUUGCUGUCACUUAUAGAUGGAUCCGCGCUGCAUUAGCUAGUUGGUAAGGUAACGGCUUACCAAGGCAACGAUGCAUAGCCGACCUGAGAGGGUGAUCGGCCACACUGGAACUGAGACACGGUCCAGACUCCUACGGGAGGCAGCAGUAGGGAAUCUUCCGCAAAGGGCGAAAGCCUGACGGAGCAACGCCGCGUGAGUGAUGAAGGUCUUCGGAUCGUAAAACUCUGUUAUUAGGGAAGAACAUAUGUGUAAGUAACUGUGCACAUCUUGACGGUACCUAAUCAGAAAGCCACGGCCAACUACGUG